RNAcentral lists this ribosomal RNA (775 nucleotides) under uncultured archaeon. Its description in RNAcentral is "bacterial SSU rRNA". It matches the Rfam family "Archaeal small subunit ribosomal RNA", at positions 51 to 830 of the family's 1478-position model. The record is from RNAcentral.
AUGCGAGUCGAGAGGGUUUAGACCCUCGGCGAACUGCUCAGUAACACGUGGGUAAUCUACCCUCAGGACAGGGAUAACCCCGGGAAACUGGGGAUAAUACCUGAUAGGUGAAGAUGUCUGGAACGAUUCUUCGCCCAAAGCUCCGGCGCCUGAGGAUGAGCCUGCGGCUGAUUAGGUUGUUGGCGGUGUAACGGACCACCAAGCCUGAGAUCAGUACGGGCACUGAGAGGUGUAGCCCGGAGAUGGGGUCUAAGACACGGCCCCAGGCCCUACGGGGCGCAGCAGGCGCGAAAACUCCGCAAUACGCGAAAGCGUGACGGGGGAACCCCAAGUGCGUCAUCGCAAGAUGAUGCUUUUUUAGAGUGUAAACAGCUUUAAGAAUAAAAGCGGGGUAAGACCGGUGCCAGCCGCCGCGGUAACACCGGCCGCUUGAGUGGUGACCGCUAUUAUUGGGCCUAAAGCGUCCGUAGCCGGUUUGGUAAGUCCUUGGGCAAAUCCUGUCGCUUAACGGCAGGAAUUCUAGGGAUACUGCUAGACUUGAGGUCGAGAGAGGUCGGAGGUACUCCUGGGGUAGCGGUGAAAUGCUAUAAUCCUGGGGGGACCACCAGUGGCGAAAGCGUCCGACCAGAGCGAGCCUGACGGUAAGGGACGAAAGCCAGGGUAGCGAACGGGAUUAGAUACCCCGGUAGUCCUGGCCGUAAACGCUGUGGGCUAGGUGUUGCAUGCUCUACGAGGGCAUGCAGUGCCGAAGAGAAGUUGAUAAGCCUACCGCCUG